CUUUUAUUUCUCCAAAGUUCCCUGAUCCCAUGGCAAGAAGCUUGUCUUUCCAGUCCUUUGAUAGUAGCUUUUCAAUACUGGGAGUUUCUUCUGGUUCAUUUUUGAUGAGCUCUUCCAUUUUUCUUUGCUUAAGGGUGUCUACAACAUCCGCUAGGCUCCCUUUGCGCCUUUCAGGGGUUCCCAGGGCUGUGCUGGACAAUGAUUCUCCACUCUGACGCCCACCUUCUUCUGCCUUCAAGGGUGAGGUAGAUGAGUUGUGCGGGGCAAAUGAAGACAUCGCUUUAUUGCCAUCAACUUCCAUUGUGUUGUGCUGAGAAGUGGGAGUCCUAUGGCCACAGUUCUCUUGCGUCAGCAGAGAAACUGGCUGAAAUUCCUCAGAGUGAGGCUUGUUGGGAAAACUCACAUGCAAGGGAAGGUGAAAGGCUGGGAGCCCGUCACUCUCCUCUUCUCCCACUUUCUGUCUGCUUGUCACCAUGGCUACCUCUCCAUCUGCUUCCCCAUACGGAGAGGCUGGUCGCUUGGAAGACAUCCUUUCAAACUCCUGAGGUAAAUCAGGGUCAGUGAG
This 565-nucleotide long non-coding RNA is filed under the name Gallus gallus (chicken). The record is from RNAcentral. Lineage: Eukaryota; Metazoa; Chordata; Aves; Galliformes; Phasianidae.